AUUGAACGCUGGCGGCAUGCUUUACACAUGCAAGUCGAACGGUAACAGGCCGCAAGGUGCUGACGAGUGGCGAACGGGUGAGUAAUGCAUCGGAACGUGCCCAGUCGUGGGGGAUAACUACUCGAAAGAGUAGCUAAUACCGCAUACGAUCUAUGGAUGAAAGCGGGGGACCGUAAGGCCUCGCGCGAUUGGAGCGGCCGAUGUCAGAUUAGGUAGUUGGUGGGGGAAAGGCUCACCAAGCCAACGAUCUGUAGCGGGUCUGAGAGGACGACCAGCCACACUGGGACUGAGACACGGCCCAGACUCCUACGGGAGGCAGCAGUGGGGAAUUUUGGACAAAGGGCGCAAGCCUGAUCCAGCAAUGCCGCGUGCAGGAAGAAGGCCUUCGGGUUGUAAACUGCUUUUGUACGGAACGAAACGGCUCUGGUUAAUACCCGGGGCUAAUGACGGUACCGUAAGAAUAAGCACCGGCUAACUACGUG
Molecule: ribosomal RNA, 482 nt
Filed under: uncultured bacterium
Lineage: Bacteria
Description: partial 16S ribosomal RNA
Rfam family: Bacterial small subunit ribosomal RNA
Source: RNAcentral